RNAcentral lists this transfer RNA (75 nucleotides) under Bacteroides fragilis. Its description in RNAcentral is "tRNA-Asn". It matches the Rfam family "tRNA". From Rfam's summary of the family: Transfer RNA (tRNA) molecules are approximately 80 nucleotides in length. Their secondary structure includes four short double-helical elements and three loops (D, anti-codon, and T loops). Lineage: Bacteria; Pseudomonadati; Bacteroidota; Bacteroidia; Bacteroidales; Bacteroidaceae. The record is from RNAcentral.
UCUUCCUUAGCUCAGUCGGUUAGAGCAUCUGACUGUUAAUCAGAGGGGCCCUUGGUUCAAGUCCAAGAGGAAGAG